GCCUUCCUUCCCAGCCUCGGGAUAUAGAGGAGGGUCCUUUGCAUCCCCUUCGGAAAGAGGAUCCAUAGGAGGAUUUUUGAUUGUAAACUCAAAUAACAAGAACAUAUUAAGCUGCUGGACGGAUCGCCCCCAAAUUUUCACAUGACGUCCCUCCCUGUUGCGGGC
Long non-coding RNA from Sphaerodactylus townsendi, 165 nucleotides. RefSeq lists it as uncharacterized. NCBI's taxonomy places the organism in Eukaryota, Metazoa, Chordata, Lepidosauria, Squamata, Sphaerodactylidae. The transcript has 3 exons. The record is from RefSeq and is a predicted model, not a curated record.